Molecule: unclassified non-coding RNA, 146 nt
Filed under: soil metagenome
Description: partial internal transcribed spacer 1
Source: RNAcentral
ACAAAAGGGAAAAAGGCGUGGCGGGCGCAAGCUCGUUUCACGUUCUGCUCCCGAAUCCUGUAUUCACCCCAAGUUCCUUUAAAAUUUCAAUUAAAAAACUCUGCAAAAGACCACUUUUUAAAGUGGCAUCUAAUUGCACAAAGCGA